This 168-nucleotide small RNA is filed under the name Mytilus galloprovincialis (Mediterranean mussel). Lineage: Eukaryota; Metazoa; Mollusca; Bivalvia; Mytilida; Mytilidae. The record is from RNAcentral.
GCUCUAUGGUCGGGUUGUUGUCUUUUUGACACAUUCCCCGUUUCCAUUCUCAAUAUUAUUAAUAAACAGAUAUCUGAUUUUAAUUAUACACAUUUUUAUAUCAUAUAAAAUAAAAUUGAGAAUGGAAAUGGGGAAUAUGCCAAAGAGACAACAACCCGACCAUAGAAA